This 253-nucleotide ribosomal RNA is filed under the name uncultured bacterium. RNAcentral's name for it is "partial 16S ribosomal RNA". It matches the Rfam family "Bacterial small subunit ribosomal RNA", at positions 524 to 776 of the family's 1533-position model. The record is from RNAcentral.
UACGUAGGUGACCAGCGUUGUCCGGAUUUACUGGGCGUAAAGAGCGCGCAGGCGGUCGUUCAAGUCGAGUGUGAAAGCCCCCGGCUCAACUGGGGAGGGUCACUCGAUACUGAUCGACUUGAAGGCAGGAGAGGGAAGCGGAAUUCCCGGUGUAGUGGUGAAAUGCGUAGAUAUCGGGAGGAACACCAGUGGCGAAGGCGGCUUCCUGGCCUGUUCUUGACGCUGAGGCGCGAAAGCGUGGGGAGCGAUCCGG